CCUACGGGAGGCAGCAGUGGGGAAUAUUGCACAAUGGGGGAAACCCUGAUGCAGCGACGCCGCGUGAGUGAAGAAGUAUUUCGGUAUGUAAAGCUCUAUCAGCAGGGAAGAAAAAAGACGGUACCUGACUAAGAAGCCCCGGCUUACUACGUGCCAGCAGCCGCGGUAAUUUGUAGGGGGCAAGCGUUAUCCGGAUUUACUGGGGGUAAAGGGAGCGUAGACGGGAAUACGAGUCGGAGGUGAAAUGUCCGGGCUCAACCCGCGUAUUGCUGUGGAAACUGUAUGGCUGGAGUGCUGGAGAGGUAAGCGGAAUGCCUGGUGUAGCGGUGAAAUGCGUAGAUAUUAGGAGGAACACCAGUGGCGAAGGCGGCUUACUGGACAGUAACUGACGUUGAGGCUCGAAAGCGUGGGGAGCAAACAGGAUUAGAUACCCUAGUAGUC
This 441-nucleotide ribosomal RNA is filed under the name uncultured bacterium. Its description in RNAcentral is "partial 16S ribosomal RNA". It matches the Rfam family "Bacterial small subunit ribosomal RNA", at positions 338 to 795 of the family's 1533-position model. The record is from RNAcentral.